Molecule: long non-coding RNA, 493 nt
Organism: Carassius gibelio (silver crucian carp)
Lineage: Eukaryota; Metazoa; Chordata; Actinopteri; Cypriniformes; Cyprinidae
Exons: 3
Source: RefSeq, a predicted model, not a curated record
AAUAAAACAUGCAGUUUAAACAUAUAUGACUUAAUUUGGGGAGUUGAAAUCUUUAUUGAAAUGUCAAACUUCCUUAAGUUACACUCUGGAUUGAGGUUAUGCUAACUGCUGUUUUAUUUUUAUUUGUUUUCAGGGUUCAAUAUUCUGCCACCCUUAUCAACAAGAAAUGGGUCAAAUUAAGACCCCUGUCCAGUGUGUGGAUAACCCUAAAGGAUUGGGUGGAAUGAUGAUAUAUGACCGGGAAACAUUCACAGUGAACAAACAACACUUGGUGGCAGUUCUUCUGUCUAGAGGUGAAAAACUCAGACCAGUUCUAUUGUAAUGGCAAGUGAAGACGAUAAAGAUAAAUGCCUCCGAAGACCUUAACAUUUCAAAUAAAGGCCUUUUACCAACAUCUGUGUCUUUCAAGAGGUCUAUAGCUACGGUCUCUUAUGCAUAUAUCCCUUCCUGAAUAAAGGAGCAGGAAACCAGUAAAAUCUGUACCCUGUCUGUC